RNAcentral lists this ribosomal RNA (554 nucleotides) under uncultured bacterium. RNAcentral's name for it is "bacterial SSU rRNA". It matches the Rfam family "Bacterial small subunit ribosomal RNA", at positions 367 to 917 of the family's 1533-position model. The record is from RNAcentral.
GUGGAUGGGCGCAGCCUGAUCAGCAUGCCGCGUGUGUGAAGAAGGCCUUCGGGUUGUAAAGCACUUUUGUCCGGAAAGAAAUCGCACUUACUAAUAUUAGGUGUGGAUGACGGUACCGGAAGAAUAAGGACCGGCUAACUACGUGCCAGCAGCCGCGGUAAUACGUAGGGUCCAAGCGUUAAUCGGAAUUACUGGGCGUAAAGCGUGCGCAGGCGGUUGUGCAAGACCGAUGUGAAAUCCCCGGGCUUAACCUGGGAAUUGCAUUGGUGACUGCACGGCUAGAGUGUGUCAGAGGGGGGUAGAAUUCCACGUGUAGCAGUGAAAUGCGUAGAGAUGUGGAGGAAUACCGAUGGCGAAGGCAGCCCCCUGGGAUAACACUGACGCUCAUGCACGAAAGCGUGGGGAGCAAACAGGAUUAGAUACCCUGGUAGUCCACGCCCUAAACGAUGUCAACUAGUUGUUGGGGAUUCAUUUCCUUAGUAACGUAGCUAACGCGUGAAGUUGACCGCCUGGGGAGUACGGUCGCAAGAUUAAAACUCAAAUGAAUUGACGGA